Non-coding RNA from Anas platyrhynchos (mallard), 1549 nucleotides. The record is from RefSeq and is a predicted model, not a curated record. Lineage: Eukaryota; Metazoa; Chordata; Aves; Anseriformes; Anatidae.
AUGAUAUCACCCUAGAGGAGUAGAAAACGAAUUGUAUUCUUCAACAAGAUGGAACAGGGUGUUUGUGCUCGGGAAGUCUACUAAGCAGGCAAGGGUGGAAAAAAGCACCAGAAGUUGCUUACCAAGACACACUCUGCUCAACACAAGCUCCUUGCACUGCUCUGCCUGUAGCUCAAACCCCAUCCCUCACACCCUGUGAUUUUCUGGAGGGGACCAACCCGCAUUUUAAGCUCAGCUUUGGCUCAGGGAUGGCCUGAGGCACAGCUUCGGCAGGCAGAGGCUCCUACAGAGAUUACACAACCUGAACCCGCUGCCCACAAAGAUCACAAAUAUAUUUCUUCCAGGACCUCACAGCUAACAUCUCUGGUAUUAAAGCCGCAUUUAUAAAUGACAGCAGCGCUUGCAGCGCUAUGUACAAUUCACAUGUGCAUACCUUAGCACGUCAGCUAUUGGCUCUGGCUCCUCCAACUUCCAUAGUGAAGUGCAGCUGGUAGUCAGGCAGAAUGGUAUGUAGCUGUGGGCACUUCGGGUUGUGUUGUUGGCGUGGUUUUUUUUUGUUGUUGUUAUAGGAAAUAUUUCUCUAAAUAUGGUUUCCAGCUAUCUCUUAUCUCCCAUUUCUCCCAAAAGAUGAAGCCUGAAUUCAGGGGCCAGGAGACACUGCCUCAGGAGGUGUAUAUCUGAUUCCUAAGAAACAGAGGUGAAAUUGCUUGCCAGAAACAGCUCUUUUUUUCCCCUGGUUUUGUUUUGUUUUGUUUUUUCUUUUCCAUUGUUUCAUUGUUCAGUUUUGGUGGUUUUAUUUAUUUAUUUUUUCUUCCUGCAUACUACUUUAAUGCUCCCUAAAUACUUACGUUUUUACCUGUUUGGCAUUGCAUGCUCCAACUUCAGUAGCGCUUAAUGAAAAUGGACAGCAAAGAGGAGAUUAAAGCCAAUGGUUCUGGCAGUCAGAACAUCGGGAGGCAAACAAAUGGCACAGGAAUGCUGCACGUUGAGCAGUUACUUCCAUUACAGCGUAGCGCUUGUUUUUUUCCUGGAGACAAAGUCAGCUGAAGCUGUUCAAACACCAAAAUUAGCUUUGAGGAACUGAAAGGCUGCCUGGGCCGUACGCCUUCCUGGAUGCACCACACGAGUCCUGCUGUGCUCUGAAGGUGGGCGCUACCUGUGGCACAGGCCUCCUGCGGCCCAUCAGCCUGCUCCCCGACUCCAGCACCACGCAUGGACCAUCCUGGUGGCCCAGGUCCUCUUCGGGUGCUGCUCCUGAAGCAUCCACCUCCUUCCACUGCCUCCUUCCCGGGGCAGAGGGCAGGACAGAGGCUGGCAGGUCCCCGAAGCGCUCCCACUGAGCUCCUCCCAGCUUAUGGUGAGGUGCCAGGAGCGUGGGCAUGGAAGGGACACACACGCCGGAGAUGAGUUCCCUCAGCCUCGGGACAGAUCUGCUGUGACCUCGGCUCCAGGCGUGUCACAGACAGCAUUUCAGCAUGGGGCUGAGACGGCGCAUGGAGUCCUUAAGCAGCCUGUCUGCACAGGAAUGAAUGUCAUCCUUGAUUUCUAA